CCUACGGGGCGCAGCAGUGGGGAAUAUUGGACAAUGGGCGAAAGCCUGAUCCAGCCAUGCCGCGUGUGUGAAGAAGGCCUUCGGGUUGUAAAGCACUUUCAGUGGGGAAGAAAGCCUUGGGGCUAAUACCCUCGAGGAAGGACAUCACCCACAGAAGAAGCACCGGCUAACUCCGUGCCAGCAGCCGCGGUAAUACGGAGGGUGCGAGCGUUAAUCGGAAUUACUGGGCGUAAAGCGCGCGUAGGCGGUCUGAUAAGCCGGUUGUGAAAGCCCCGGGCUCAACCUGGGAACGGCAUCCGGAACUGUCAGGCUAGAGUGCAGGAGAGGAAGGUAGAAUUCCCGGUGUAGCGGUGUAAUGCGUAGAGAUCGGGAGGAAUACCAGUGGCGAAGGCGGCCUUCUGGACUGACACUGACGCUGAGGUGCGAAAGCGUGGGUAGCAAACAGGAUUAGAUACCCGAGUAGUC
RNAcentral lists this ribosomal RNA (465 nucleotides) under Vreelandella stevensii. RNAcentral describes it as "partial 16S ribosomal RNA". It matches the Rfam family "Bacterial small subunit ribosomal RNA", at positions 338 to 795 of the family's 1533-position model. Lineage: Bacteria; Pseudomonadati; Pseudomonadota; Gammaproteobacteria; Oceanospirillales; Halomonadaceae. The record is from RNAcentral.